Molecule: RNA transcript, 3965 nt
Organism: Balaenoptera acutorostrata (minke whale)
Lineage: Eukaryota; Metazoa; Chordata; Mammalia; Artiodactyla; Balaenopteridae
Exons: 2
Source: RefSeq, a predicted model, not a curated record
AUGACACCAGAACCCCGCGUCUGUCAGGCUGUCAACAUUCCCGCAGCAAGCGCACCAGCGCCGAAGCCCUGAUUGAUCCCAUAUGUCUGGCAGGAGCUGCAGAGGAAUUCACUGGAGAUGGAUCCAGAUACCGAGAGUGCCACAGUAAUUGGAAACACUUCGUAGAGGAAACACACGGACUGGCCAGGGAGUUGAACGCAUCCUUUGAAAACUGCUUGCUCACCUUUUGUGUCUCUUUUUCCCCCUCCGGUUCCUCAAAGCCUUCACCAAGUGGAUGUUUAUUUGCCUUUCCUGGUGGGGCUUUCUGGUCAGCGGUGUGUGUGAGUGUGUCCUCUUGAGGGUCGCCUCAGAUCACACCAUAUAGGGGUUGCAUCUACCCCUAUGCAGCCCAUAGGGAUGAUUUGUCAUGGUGCUGCAUUCAUGCAUUUAUUUAUUCAUCCAUUUGGUCACUCCUUCAUUCAUUCAACAAAUAUUUUUGAGCACCUACUGUGUGCCAGGACACCUGGAAUAUAAGGAGGAACACAAAUUGACAGAUCUUGUCCCCAAGGAACUUAUAGGGUAACAAGUGACGUGACCAUUAACCAGAUAUUUCACAAAUAAUGUAUAUAAUUACAGCUGACCAUGCUAAGGCUAUGAAGCAGAUCUUAGGCAGAUAGAUUUGACCUUAGAAGACCAGGGAAGCCUUUGCAGAGGACAUGAAGUUUGAGCUGAAAUCUGAUGAUGAGCAAGGGUCCCUUUUCCCCAGUCCUCUUUCAUGUACCCAGUGGUCUGUUUCAACAGGUGAGACCCAUAGAGGGCUAUUUCCUUGGCUUUGAAUGGUACCUGGCACAUAGCUACUUUGAAACACAAGUUGCCACCUGGGGGUAGUUUUUCCAAAACAAAACCCCGAAAGGGAUGGUGCAAGUGCAAAGAAGGAGUAAACUUUGCAUAAGAGGUGGAGUAAACUUUGCAAAAAUGAUUCUAGCUAGGAGUCAGGAGCCCUGUGUAGAUAUGCCUCUGCAAUUAUAUAAAUCCCCUGAACCAAGACACUUCCAACUCUUGGCUUCAAUUUCCACAUCUGUUUCAUGAUGGAAUUCAAUGAUCUCAGAGUUUCCUUUGUCUCUAAUAUCAGAUGAUUUAAUUCCAUCUAUAUUUAAUGAAAUACCUUCACAGUAUAUUGGUUGAAAUGUUAGGGCUCUUGGAGUCUGUUUGCCCAGAAUGAAGUCUUGGCUCUGCCAUUCAGUAGUUGUAUGACCUUGACAUUAGUUUGCUCAUCUGUAAAAUGGAGUAAUAAUAAUAGCAUAUUAGAGGUUAUUGUGAGGAUAUAAUCAUAAAAACAAAGUUCUUAGGCUAGUGCUUAGACUAUAGCAUGUACUCUACAAAUGCUGAUUGCUACUAUUGCCACAUUUAACCAUAAAUACUCUUCAAAUCCUCAUUUUUCUAGGAUUUUUCCAUUUGACCAUCUACCGUGCCAGAAUAUUAGAUAUUGAGGAUUUAAAGCUGAAUAAGACUCAGUUCCAGUCUUCCAGAAGUUCAAAGGAUAUCAGAAGAGAACACAGACUUGCAAACAAUUACAGAGCAGUAGGAUGAUUUCAAGGAUGGAGAAGAGAGAGCAAGAAGAGAAAGUUCUCAAUCUUCCCCGGGAAUAAGCAAGACCUCAUUUGAGCUGAGACUUUAAAAAAAGAGAAAUUCUGUCCAAAUUUCAUCUACUCGGUGUUAUUUCAAAUACGUCAUUAAGAGCUAACAUUUUAGGACCUUUAUGUGCCAGGCACCAUGGCAACUACUAUGUGUAUUUGCUCAUAUGCUCCCAAAGAAACCCAGGGAUGUAGACGAUUGCUUUAGGACUUUCUGGUUGCAAGCAAUAGGCACCCAACUUCUCCUUGCUGUAAACAAGAAGGGAUUGCUUCGCUCAGUAACUAAACUGGACAAAAGGCAGUGGUGGACUGGUCUCAAAAAGGCUUGGAAAAGGAAAUCAAGAACUACCAAAGACUAAGACUGAGAAGCAACCUAAAGGUACUGAAAUGACAACAUGGAGCCAGACUGAGAAGAAACUACCUGGGAUUCAUCUCGUGACAUAAAGACAUACGUGGGAAAAAAAAAAAAGUGUGUUGGUGGUGUAAGGGAUGGGGGAUGCCUUAUAUUUGUCUCACCACCUGCACCCUGAUCAACAGGAAACUGAACCUCAAUCCCUGUCUAUCCAAUGGGACUUGUGUAAAGGACACCCACCUUCACCCCACCCUUCACUGCAACCACCUUCCUGCAUUAAAGCAGGUGCUGUAAAAAGACAGGACAGAUUUGUAGGGGGGGGGAGAUAGAAGGGGAAGUGAGGAAGAAAGCAGAGAGUGGUGCUGGCAAAGGUCCUUCUGAGAUGUCAAGAAUCAAGUCCAGUAAAUGGAAGCGGAGGCAGGAAAAGUUUCAGUUUCCACGCAUGUUGGGCAUAGUGUCUCGUUUUGUUUUAAAAUCUAUCACACAGUGUUAGUGAAUCACAGCGACAGGCAGCAGGGACAGUAGGAAGAUGCCACCUUGUGACUGUAUUUUAUAAGACUCUCAGCUGUGAAUUUAACAAAGACAUUCUCCCCUGCACAGAUUGUUUCUUUAAGUAGAAUUAUCUGAAGAUGGAGUUCAUGAUGGAAAAGUCUUAGCAGGGGACACUGUAAACAAUUAAAAAGUAGUAAACAUAAAUGUAUGUUCUAACACUAGAUACAGAUAAAAAAUUUUAAAUACAUAUCAUUUUAUGUGUCUUAUUUCAUUUAAUCCUGCCCUAAAUCCUGAAAUAUAGUGGGUAGUCCAUUUUUAUGGGUGAAGAAAUAGAGCUCUAUGAGGUAGCCAUAAAGUCUGGAAGUAAAAAUGGUUUAUUGCUAUUACAUUGCAGUGCAUGGUGUGUUUAACGUGUUGUCCCUUGCUAGCAGCGCAAGCUUGCAGUGAAGGUGGUAAUUAACACAGCAUGUGUGUCCAUCCCUGCAUUUGUAUGUACAGUGCACUGCCUCAGAUAAUUGUGGUCUCUGAUUUCUGCGGACAAAACCUGAGCCUUUAACAAACCCCAGAGGAAGGAAUCAAGGGGGUUCAGAUCUGGCAGCUUCCUCCACACAACCAUGUCAGCCAAACCAGUUUUGGAAAUUAUCCAACCAAUCCCUCACCUUCUGGCUUAAUGGGGUGCUGAGCGUGCCAGCCUGUUGGAACCACUCCUGGCAGCCUUCCCCUAGCCUGUCAUAUGCCGGCAUUAACUGGUUACUUUACGUGAUAAAAUACAUCUUUUCAGACACGUUACUUCAAAGAAAAAUGGUCCCGAGACACGUGCUUUCCACGGGUCACACCACACCAUCACCUUUGCCUUGCGUGUGAGUGGCUGAAGUACAGCGUGGGUUUUCUUGAUUGUCUCCUGACCCAGCAUUGCAUCUACUGGUUGCCUCCCGUUUUACAUAAAAAGUAGCUUGGUCUCAGUCUUUGGCAUUCUUAUCCAGGAGAUCUGAGCGCCUUGAGCACAUUUCCAAACAACAAUUGGGAUUAUCCUCAGCUAAACUUUGUAGGACUUACAUCUUGAACUGGUGAAAGGCACAUGGAUUGAGAAUUUUUCAUGUGGUACUGAAAAGUACCCCCAGUUUCUAGAAUGCUCUUUGAGCUGGCUAUUAUGUCCACAGUGACCAUUUCUUUUACCUCUUCAGAAACAGUCAUCCACAAAACAGUGUGCCCAAAACGUUGCCUGUGGUCUUGAAUUUGUGAACCAGCCUUCCAAAGGUGCUCUCUUCCAGAAGGACAUGCAUUGAAGGACUCUUUAUAUUCAGUGACAGGACCAGCCCUCAUGUCCACUUAGAAGUAGCAGCAUAGUGUGUUCAUCUUUCAUCAUCUUCAACCUGUAAAAAGUAAAAUAGCAUCAUUUAUGUUUCUAGAUAUUAUAUCCAAGGUCAAGGCUUGAACCAAACUCCAUUUGUGAUUUUCACCGUAAUUCUUGAGGUUGCUCUGCUAAAAACAAAUAAUAAUAAUCAUAG